GCCGAAGUGGUGGAACUGGUAGACACGCUAGACUUAGGAUCUAGUGCCGCAAGGCGUGGAGGUUCAAGUCCUCUCUUCGGUACCA
RNAcentral lists this transfer RNA (85 nucleotides) under Desulfobacter postgatei. RNAcentral describes it as "tRNA-Leu". It matches the Rfam family "tRNA". From Rfam's summary of the family: Transfer RNA (tRNA) molecules are approximately 80 nucleotides in length. The record is from RNAcentral. Lineage: Bacteria; Pseudomonadati; Thermodesulfobacteriota; Desulfobacteria; Desulfobacterales; Desulfobacteraceae. RNAcentral also lists the same sequence under 2 other names.